This 468-nucleotide ribosomal RNA is filed under the name uncultured bacterium. Its description in RNAcentral is "partial 16S ribosomal RNA". It matches the Rfam family "Bacterial small subunit ribosomal RNA", at positions 28 to 507 of the family's 1533-position model. The record is from RNAcentral.
GACGAACGCUGGCGGCGUGCUUAACACAUGCAAGUCGAACGGAAAGGCCCUGCUUUUGUGGGGUGCUCGAGUGGCGAACGGGUGAGUAACACGUGAGUAACCUGCCCUUGACUUUGGGAUAACCUCAGGAAACUGGGGCUAAUACCGGAUAGGAGCUCCUGCUGCAUGGUGGGGGUUGGAAAGUUUCGGCGGUUGGGGAUGGACUCGCGGCUUAUCAGCUUGUUGGUGGGGUAGUGGCUUACCAAGGCUUUGACGGGUAGCCGGCCUGAGAGGGUGACCGGCAACAUUGGGACUGAGAUACGGCCCAGACUCCUACGGGAGGCAGCAGUGGGGAAUAUUGCACAAUGGGCGGAAGCCUGAUGCAGCAACGCCGCGUGCGGGAUGACGGCCUUCGGGUUGUAGACCGCUUUCGCCUGUGACGAAGCGUGAGUGACGGUAAUGUGUAAAGAAGCACCGGCUAACUACGUG